RNAcentral lists this ribosomal RNA (275 nucleotides) under uncultured prokaryote. RNAcentral's name for it is "partial 16S ribosomal RNA". It matches the Rfam family "Bacterial small subunit ribosomal RNA", at positions 524 to 798 of the family's 1533-position model. The record is from RNAcentral.
UACGUAGGGGGCAAGCGUUAUCCGGAUUUACUGGGUGUAAAGGGAGCGCAGACGGCAGCGCAAGUCUGAUGUGAAAUCCCGGGGCUCAACCCCGGAACUGCAUUGGAAACUGCGCAGCUCGAGUAUCGGAGAGGUAAGCGGAAUUCCUAGUGUAUCGGUGAAAUGCGUAGAUAUUAGGAGGAACACCGGCGGCGAAGGCGGCUUACUGGACGAAGACUGACGUUGAGGCUCGAAAGCGUGGGGAGCAAACAGGAUUAGAUACCCCGGUAGUCCCU